RNAcentral lists this ribosomal RNA (495 nucleotides) under uncultured bacterium. Its description in RNAcentral is "partial 16S ribosomal RNA". It matches the Rfam family "Bacterial small subunit ribosomal RNA", at positions 28 to 507 of the family's 1533-position model. The record is from RNAcentral.
GACGAACGCUGGCGGCGUGCCUAAUACAUGCAAGUAGAACGCUGAAGGAGGAGCUUGCUUCUCUGGAUGAGUUGCGAACGGGUGAGUAACGCGUAGGUAACCUGCCUGGUAGCGGGGGAUAACUAUUGGAAACGAUAGCUAAUACCGCAUAAUAGUAGAUGUUGCAUGACAUUUGCUUAAAAGGUGCAAUUGCAUCACUACCAGAUGGACCUGCGUUGUAUUAGCUAGUUGGUGGGGUAACGGCUCACCAAGGCGACGAUACAUAGCCGACCUGAGAGGGUGAUCGGCCACACUGGGCCUGAGACACGGCCCAGACUCCUACGGGAGGCAGCAGUAGGGAAUCUUCGGCAAUGGAAGGAAGUCUGACCGAGCAACGCCGCGUGAGUGAAGAAGGUUUUCGGAUCGUAAAGCUCUGUUGUAAGAGAAGAACGAGUGUGAGAGUGGAAGGUUCACAAUGUGACGGUAUCUUACCAGAAAGGGACGGCUAACUACGUG